UACGUAGGGGGCAAGCGUUGUCCGGAAUUAUUGGGCGUAAAGAGCUCGUAGGCGGCUUGUCGCGUCGGCUGUGAAAACCUGGGGCUCAACCCCGGGCCUGCAGCCGAUACGGGCAAGCUAGAAUUCGGUAGGGGAGAGUGGAAUUCCUGGUGUAGCGGUGAAAUGCGCAGAUAUCAGGAGGAACACCGGUGGCGAAGGCGGGUCUCUGGACAGUUCCUGACGCUGAGGCACGAAGGCCAGGGGAGCAAACGGG
This 253-nucleotide ribosomal RNA is filed under the name uncultured bacterium. Its description in RNAcentral is "partial 16S ribosomal RNA". It matches the Rfam family "Bacterial small subunit ribosomal RNA", at positions 524 to 776 of the family's 1533-position model. The record is from RNAcentral.